This is a non-coding RNA of Cinara cedri, 381 nucleotides long. NCBI's taxonomy places the organism in Eukaryota, Metazoa, Arthropoda, Insecta, Hemiptera, Aphididae. The record is from the annotation of a GenBank genome assembly.
GUGGCACUAACGAGUGUCCGCCCCGUUUACUUUCAUUCCCCUCUCUUUCUUCUUCUACGUCUUAACAGUAUUGCCAGAGACAGUAUUUCACUAUCGCGUUCGGCCCUCGUGCCCAUUACGGUGCGUACAAGACGAUUAAAGAACCGCGGAGAUAGGUACGAUGAUAUUUCCCGACGUGUAAAUUUGAUUCCCCUCCGCUCCUUCGCCCGGGUAUUUUUAUAGGAAUCGUUUCGACGAUAAUAUCGUUUUCGUCCGCAGACAAAAACUGUUGUUAAAACGCAGAAACAAACGGAUAAACUACCGUACACCGUAAAAAAUAUAUGUACGCUCGGUGGGACGGCGUUUGUUCCCCGCUAUUGAACGCGCGGUCAGUUCGUUUUU